GGAGGAGCCUGCGGAGGGAACCCUUGGCUUUAGGAAGAGCGGUGCCAGCGGGUCAGGGGGGUGAUCCUGCUGCUCUGUUUAGACCAGGUAAAGAAGUGUGCCAAGAGGAUGGAUCCAGGCUCUGUUUUGUUGAUGCUGAGCAACAGGACAAGAGGAAUGGGCAGUAACUGAUGCCCAGGAAGUUCCACCUGAACGGUGACCGAGCACUGGGACAGAUUGUCCAGAGAGGCUGUGGACUCUCCCUUACUGGAGAUAUUCCAGAGCCAUCUGGACACAUUCCUGUGCCACGUCCUCCAGGGAGGUUGGACCUGUGACUCACUGUGGUCCCUUCCAGCCUGACCAUUCUGUGAUUGUGAACUGCUGCCCCUGGCCUCUGGCAGGGCACCAGCUCACCCCUGUCCUGCCAGAGAGGGAAAAGAUGCUCCCUUGUACCUGCUGUCCCCAUCUGUCACCCCUUCCAGCCUCUUCCACUCCACGUGCUCCAGAGUGGUGGCUGGACCCAUCUGCACCGCCCAGCUCUGCCAGUGGGAUCCCCAGGCAGGCAGCCCCCAGCCUGGCAGGUGUGCACAGGUGCUUCCCUGCAGCACUGUCAGACACACACAAAGGUAUUUCUGGUGCCAAACAUUCACAGAUCAUCUGAAAGCCGAGGGAAACAAUCAGCAGGACUUCAUUAAAGAAGAAAGAAUGCAUUUAC
Molecule: long non-coding RNA, 694 nt
Organism: Vidua macroura (Pin-tailed whydah)
Lineage: Eukaryota; Metazoa; Chordata; Aves; Passeriformes; Viduidae
Exons: 2
Source: RefSeq, a predicted model, not a curated record